This is an RNA transcript of Chenopodium quinoa (quinoa), 7686 nucleotides long. RefSeq lists it as uncharacterized. NCBI's taxonomy places the organism in Eukaryota, Viridiplantae, Streptophyta, Magnoliopsida, Caryophyllales, Amaranthaceae. The record is from RefSeq and is a predicted model, not a curated record. The transcript is spliced from 22 exons.
UUGACAGGGGUAGUUCGGUCAUUUCGCUUUGACAAUCCAGUUGUUCUGAAUGAGCUGACGCGUGGCAUUCAUCUUUCUGAUUAGCUAUGUCUUCUUUCUUUUUCCAUUGUUCCUUCCUGAAUUCUACUUUCUUUUUCCAUUUCGUUUAUGUGUUUCCUUCUUAAUUAUUUCCUUCUUGAUUAUUUCCUUUUUAGUUGUUUCCUUGUUAAUUAUUUCCAUUUUGAACGAGUGUUGCAGCGGUUAGUUCGAUGGCGAGGUUUCAUGGAGCUGCUGUAAUUGCCAUGGCUAUUUUUGUCCUUUUGCUUAGGAGGGAAGCGUAACUCAUUCUCUCUCUUUCGUUCCUGCUGUUAAUUUCAUGGAGUGGUUUGAUGGAGCUUCUUUGGUCGCAGCUCUGGAUCUGGUUGUUGAGCAGUGUGAGGUCUGUGCAGUUGGAGCGGUGUUGUUAAAAUUGCUUUCUGCUAUUGUUGGAAAGGAAUUGGCGCAGCUUGCUCUUGCGGCUGGGUUUUCAGAUGCCAAAUUUUAUGAGAUUGCUGACGGACUAAUUGGAAAUCUGGUGGUAAUUCAAUAAGGGGGUAUUGCAAUUAGAACCUGAGAUCAGUGUCAAAUUCAGGAAUUACUGUACAACAAUUAGAACCUGAGAUCAGUGUCAAAUUCACAGAAUUUUAAGCAGAACAAAUAUUGAACAGAGCCUCUCAUUUUACAGACCAAAAAACAUCUUCUGAACUGCAGCUUCGGAGAAUUAAAUAUGUUUUCUUUUUACAGUAAAUGACAUAAACAGGAAUCAUCAAUAUCCUGUGCGCAUUGUUGAGAUAGCUUGAUCUGCACCAAAGUAAUAUGGCUGAUGCACCUGUUAACUUUAUGAGACCAUCAAGUAAAGGGCGGAAAUCAAAGCGAAUAAGUGAUUUGAUAUCAAAUCAUAAUUCUUCUAGUCAAGCAGAACAGUCAAAGUCCAAAAAGGCAAAAUCAAGACCUUCAAAAUAUACUAUACUUGAAAAAAGACCCGUGUCUCUUAGAGUUACACCAUCAAAUGCACAGAGUUCAAAGCAGCUAAGGGAUGCUGCUAAAAAUCAAAGGGUGUAUAAUGCUCCCACUUCAGAUGAAGUUGCAGUUAUCUGGCCUGAUAGUGUUUCAUCAAGUCAAAGUUCAUGGCCACAUGUUCUUGUGACAGCAAAAUCUGCGAAAUCCCAUCGGAUUGCCCAUUUUUAUGGGUGAUAUGACCCUUUACAGUAUCUCCUGCUAUUUCCAAGAGGUGAAUGUGGUUGGCAUCAGGGUCUAAAAAAAAACUUCUUAUGGUGGAGAUAGGCAAGUGGCAGCAGAACCUGAUCCUAUUCAAUCAUGUGCAGUGAACACUCCAGCAGAUUUUCUAGAUGCAGAAGCUGCUCGAGCUUCCGGAAGACAUACGAAAGCUGAUAAGAAUAUCUCUGCAAGGGAGUACUAUGCUUAUAAGCUUCAAAUUAGACCAGGAAACAUGCUCUUAAGAGCAGGCUGUGCAUUUCUGCAAUACAUCACAGAUAUGUAUAUCAAGGUUGAAAAUACAAGGUUAGAUUUUUUCCGGCAAAAUCAAGAUACAAUAAGAGCAGAUCUUUAUAAGGGUAUUCUUGACACAGUAGAGAGUGGACAGACAAGUGCAGCUAAUGUUGGUCAUAAAUUCAUUUUACCACCAUCAUUUAUAGGAGGCCCUCGUGAUAUGAAAAGGAGAUAUCUGAAUGCAAUGGCUCUUGUGCAGAAAUACGGGAAGCCAGAUCUCUUCGUCACUAUGACAUGCAAUGCAAAUUGGCCAGAGAUAAAAGCCGAACUAGAGCCCGGUGAGACUGCCCAAGACCGACCUGAUUUAGUUGCUCGUAUAUUUCGGGCGAAGUUGAUUGCUCUGAAAAAAAAAAUCAAGAAAGACAUGGUAUUUGGAAAAGUGGCAGCGAUGAUAUAUGUUGUAGAAUUUCAGAAAAGAGGAUUGCCGCAUGCUCAUUUCUUGUUGAUUCUAGAACAUCAGCAUAAGAUGAAAUCUCUUGCUGAUUAUGAUAGGUAUGUUUGUGCAGAGAUACCUCCUGUUACUCAGCCUGAACUGCGUAAGAUUGUAUUAAGGCAUAUGAUGCAUGGACCAUGUGGCUAAUUAAAUCCAGAGUGCCCUUGUAUGAGAAAGAAGGAUAAUGUCUUUUCUUGUAAAAAUGGAUAUCCAAAACAAUUCACCGCACAAACAACGACAAAUAAAGAUGGUUAUCCUUGUUAUAAGAGAAGUGAUAUUGGAGAACAAGUGAAGGUCAGAAAUGCCGAGUUAGAUAAUCGAUGGGUUGUACCUUAUAACCCUUAUCUCGCAGAACUCUUUGAUUGUCAUUUAAAUGUAGAGGUUUGUUCGACUAAAAAAGCAGUGAAAUAUUUAUAUAAAUAUGUUUACAAAGGACAUGAUCGAGUGCCCUUCAAUAUUUCGGCUGAAGAUAGAAAUUCUAGAGAUGAAAUUGCUCAGUUUCAGUCAAGAAGGUGGGUGUCACCGUGUGAAGCGGCUUGGAGAAUUUUCGGGUUUGAUUUAUUUGAGAUGCAUCCACUAGUCUUACCUCUGUCUGUUCAUAUUCCAGACAUGAAUACUGUCUGUGUACGCCCGUAUGAACGUCUUGAUAUAGGUAUUGCAAGUGGUGUUUAUGCAAAGACUCAAUUAACAGAGUUCUUUCGUAUGAAUGCAGCUACUGAUAAUGGUCUUGGUUACUUAUAUGGAGAAUUUCCAGAACACUAUAAUUGGGAUGCUUCAGCAAAAACAUGGUCCAACCGACAAAAUAAAAACUCGAUGGUUGGCCGUUUAGCUUUUGUGGCUCCUUCUGAAGGUGAACGCUUUUACCUUCGACUACUAUUACUGAAUGUCAGGAGUCCAAAAUCUUUUACAGACUUACGCACAGUUCAAGGUUAUGUAUGUGCAACUUUCAAGGAAGCAUGUCUUAAAGCUGGCAUUUUGGAAGAAGAUGAUGCUGCAAGCAUUUGUUUGGCUGAAGCAACUGAAAUUCAGCUCCCCGGGGCUCUGCGCCGAUUGUUUGCAACUGUUCUUAUAUUUUGCCAGCCGAGUAAUCCGGCAGAACUAUGGCGCAAAUAUUAUCCUGCAUUGUCAGAAGAUUUUGCACAAAAGUACUCUGGUGCAGAAAGCAAAAUUAAGAAACUAACUGUAAGAUCAGUGGAACAACAUUUAGAGGCUAUGGGGAAGUCAUUAUGUGGCUGUGUUCUAGCUGUUUUAAUGGAUAACAAUGAUACUGAAAUUGAUAGAACAAAAGACAUUCAAGAUGCACUAGAUGCUCCGAUUCCUCAGGCUUGUAUAGACAGCCGAAGCUUGCUAAAUCCAGCACAAAAGGAAAUAUUUACAUGUAUCAUGCAGCAUAUAGUGGAAGGAAAACCAGGGGCAUUUUUUGUAGAUGGUCCUGGUGGGACUGGCAAAACAUUCUUAUACAAUGCACUUUAUGCUGAGAUCCGCCUUAUGAAUAAGAUUGUUUUGCCAACAGCUACAUCAGGAAUAGCCGCAGCAAAUAUCCCGUUUGGUAGAACGGCACACUCAAGAUUCAAGAUUCCAAUGGAUAGUGAUGCUUCAUUAGCCUGCAGCGUUUCUAAGCAAAGUAGUUUAGCAACAUUAAUAAAAGAAAUGGCUCUUAUAAUAUGGGAUGAAGCAUCAAUGGCAAACAAACAAAAUCUAGAGUCUUCUAGACCUUCUGUUACAAGACAUAUGCAAUAAUGAUGUAAUAUUUGGUGGAAAGGUCAUUGUCUUCGGUGGAGAUUUCCGACAAGUGUUGCCUGUUGUCCCUAAUAAGACUCAGAGAGAAGCUGUUGAAGCAAGUGUAGUGAGUUCUUAUAUAUGGCAGCAUUUAAGAAGAUUCAGGUUAACUGAGAACCUAAGAGCCAAGGAAGAUCCUUCAUUUUGUCAAUUUUUGCUUGCACUAGGAAACGGUGAAUUGCAAACUUUGGAAAGUGAUUUUGUUGAGUUGCCUUCGCAAAUAGUGCAGACUUUCCAGCCUGAUGAUGAUCCAAUAGUUGGAUUACUUGAAUCUUCUUUUCCGGAACUUGGUUCAGACACUUUAGAUCCUCAAUUUUUUUCUAAAAGGGUUGUUCUGACACCUAUUAAUGAGGAUGUCGAUAAUAUAAACUCUUUCAUGAUUGAAAGAUUCCCGGGGGAAGCCAUAACUUAUACAAGCUAUGACAGUAUUCUAGAUGAUAGUAGCAGUGUAUAUCCUACAGAAUUUCUAAAUAAACUAUGUCCGGGAGGAAUGAGUCCUCACAAUCUUGUGCUAAAAAAAAAACUGCCCAUCAAUAUUGCUCAGAAACCUUUUUCCCUCUUCGGGUCUAUGUAAUGGAACACGCCUUAUAUGUAAAAGGUUUUUGCCCAAUUUAAUUGAGUGCGUGAUUUCUGUCGGGCAGUAUCAAGGGGAACAUGUUUUUAUACCCAGAAUCAAGCUCAGGCCAUCAAGUUCUCAGAAAUAUCCUUUCCAAUUUCAGAGGAGUCAAUUUCCCAUCAAACUGAGCUUUGCAAUGACCAUUAACAAGUCACAGGGGCAGACUUUAGAUCAAGUGUUGGUUUAUCUUCCCCGUUCAUGUUUUUCACAUGGUCAAUUGUAUGUGGCUCUUUCACGGGCACGAUCUGCCGAUAAAGUGAAGGUUAUAUCAGUAGCUCCUUCUUUACAGCGUUCAAAGAACUCUGUUUAAAUGUGGUAUCUUAUAAUGUCCUAAAGUUAGCAGGAGUCAUCUAACCAACUAUGCAUUAACCAAGAAAAGAAAAAGCUCUUCAAGAGAAGGAUGGGCCAACAACUUAUUGAUGAGCCAAGCCUGUAAAAGCUAUGUGCCUAAUGAUAAACUUACUAAGGAAGCUUGUAUUUAGGAAAUGAGGAGAUAUUUGUUCAACUUUAGGAUGUUAAGAUGCUAAAAAAACUCUACAUUUUGGGGCCAAAAAUUAUUCUUCUGCUUGGUUUUUAGACCUAUGUGGUUACACAUUAGCCCACUAAGGUAAAUUGUAUAACUUAUGUUUUGAAGCAUGGAAAAUAAGUUAAUAUUAAAAGCUAUUCAGUAUUUUAAAUUUUAUGUACAUUUUUUUAGCAGAAUUCCUAAAGUUAUGCUUUGCUUAUGACAGUGUAUAAAAGCAAUUCCCCUAAAAAUAGGAAGAUUGUUCCAAAAGAUUUUACUGAAUUGUGGUUGUCAUAAUUUGAGAUUUGUCACAUAAAAAAAUCUACCAUUAUUAUAUUGUUUAUAAAGGGACUUACCUUUUCCAAUGUUUGAAAACUAAUUAAAAAGUACAAUGAGCAGCCCAAAUUUCUUUUCCAGAAGUAUGGGCUCAACAGUAUAAACAGUGACAAGGAUUAAAAAAAACCAAUGGCUAUUCAGAACACUGUUACUCAAACCAAGCACAAUUCCUGUGCUCUAUUUUCUAUUCUUAUAUUCUGUCCUAGGUAAUAUAAAGGGAUUUGCUACUUGGCCUUUCGGUUUUUCCACACAACAAAGCAAACUUACCAGAAACUUAAUUAACCAUGGAAGAUCAGAAAUACAAAACAACAAGAGAGAAGCCAGAAUAUGUGUACUUGAAUCAAUUAAAUGCAGCAAGCAAGGCUUAUAUAGUAAGGGUGGUUGUUGCUGAAAAAGGAAGGGACAUACUAUCUUCCAAAAAAACGGUCAGAUUCCAGACUUUACUUCUAAAGGAUGAAAAGGGUAAUAGAAUGCGCGGUACUUUAUUUGGCGAUCAAAUUGAAGCCUUUGAUGAGGCAUUACAGUAUCUCGGAGAGUAUGACAUUUCUGCUGCGCCAAUUAAAUUCAUUGACGAAAAAUGGAGGACUGAACUUGAUCAGUUUCCUUACCAAAUGACUUUUGGUAGUAGAACUGUAAUUCAGCCAGUACAUCCAGAGCUUGGACCAAUUCUGCCCAACUAUCGACCAAUAGCAAGUAUACCUCGUGCGGUAGAUCCUGAUGAGAGAUACGAUGUCGUAGGUGUAGUGUUAUUUGUAGAAGAGGAGCCGAGGAAAGUUGAAGCCAGAGAUAGAAAGAGAGAAAGCUAGGUGCGAGAAAUAGUCAUCACUGAUCAAAGCUGCGAUCGACCGCUCACCAUCUCAAUGUGGAAUGACCUUACGGCAGGAAAGUACUUCGACAAAUUACCUACUUGGGAAGAAGCGUUCAAGGUUAUAGGAUUUACGGCUCUUAAACCAUACACUCGUCGUGGUUUUUUGAUGAAUUCUGCUAUGUCCACUCGAAUAAUAUAUGAACCUGAGGGAGAACGAGCUCGUGUGGUGUCUGAUUGGGCUAAUCUCUUCCACCAGAGGUUAGUAGAUAGACAAGCAAGAGUCUUAGAUGUAAGAUACCCAAGUGAAAACAAAAAAAAUGUUUUUGCUGAACUAAAGCAGAAAAAGCCAAGUAACACCUUGCAAGAAGAAACUUUAUGGAUUGAAGUGACUAUUCAGGAUGCUGAAUUAGAAAAAGUGAAUGCAUAUACGGGCUGCUCAAACUGCUGCAAGCGCACCAACCUUCCAUUGUUGCUCUUCUUGUUUGAACAAAGAAUGCAUCUGCACUGAGAGAAUUACGUUCAAAUUUGAAGCUAGCGACACCACAGAAACUAUGGCAUUCACCACUUUCAACGAUGAUACAGAAAGAUUAUUCAGGAAAACUGCAGCUGAAAUUUAUGCCAUUAAAGAAUCGGAUGAUCACAACGCAUUCAAGGCCAUUCAAGACUUACUCAGCAGCACACCGUUCUAUAUUAAAGUUGGACCUACUUGGCACUUGGGUCAGAACAAUGUGCUGGAGUGGACACUCAGAGCUAUUGAGCUUAAAGAAAAUCCUCACACCCAUGAAGCUGAGCAACUAUCUGCUGGUUACUUCAGCCAAGAAAAAGAUGCAAGUGAAAAGGUUCCAGAGAACACUAUUGAGUCAGGUAAUUCUGAACCGUUCAUUCCUACCCCAAACUUGAAGAAAAAUUUUGACAAGCAUACACAAGAAGAGCCUUACCCUGAAACACUUGACACCCCUCAGCAAAGUAUUGAAUCACUUAAGCGCAAGAAAUCCUUAGGAAAAAGUCCUAUGGAAUUUGAAAGUGAAGAAAGCGAAUCCCAAGUGCCACUAUCACAAGUCGGGGCGAAAAAGAAACUUUGCUUUUAAAUCCGAAGAAGGACAUUGCAGGUCAAAAUCCUACAAUACCUUUGGCAAAGGAUCGUGUUGAAGAUGUAGCUGAGCCUCUGGGAUCUGAGCACAGGCAAACCACACCAAUUAUUGUGAAGCUGAAAAGGUUAACAAGCCAUCUGUUGAAUCUGCCACCAAGGAAAAGUAGUCCCUGAACUACUAAGAAACUAUAUAUGCUGCUAAUGAAGUAUUGAAGAUUAUCUACUUAAGGUGCACUACUUGAAAAUCUUUUGCAUAUUAAAUCUUUUGCUAGACUUUAAGUAUAUGGGCAACUAUAAGAACUUCGCUUUCGCUGGAACAGUAGAUCAGCAUAUUAUGAUAAGGACAAUAGAUAGUUGCCGAAAAAUUUUAUAAAAGCUCCAGCAUCGUGUAGUACUAAACUUCAGUUUAUCUCUAGAAUUUCAUGUAUAUAGGAAUUAGGUGCUGUGGAGAGAAAUCUUUUGAGGAGUUUUCCAGGAACAAUAGCAAUAGUUAAUGUUCCUGGAAAACACCAUACUAGGACUAUAUUCUAAUGUACUACUAAAUUAAUGUGCAUGUUAAAAUAUAUCUAUAAAAAAUAUACUAGUUUAUGUA